GUAAUUUGUUGACUCAAUUUUUCAAUGGAAAAGCAAAUAUCAAUGAUCUAAAUCUUACAAUUAGUAACAAUGGAGAAGCCAAAGCCUCAGCAACAAAGGAUUUGUUAACCAACAUGGAAGAAUUAUCAACUAAGACAACAGAACAAGACCAGAAAUUAAUAGAUCAUGUUCCUAAAAGUGCAAUAAAUAAAGCCAGCGGCAGCAAAGAGAUACCACAUAAGGAGCAAAAGCUAGCCCAAUUAUCUAUAUUCUAUGGGGGUAAAGUGGUGGUUUUUGAUGAUUUUCCAGCAGAGAAAGCCAGAG
RNAcentral lists this unclassified non-coding RNA (303 nucleotides) under Hevea brasiliensis (rubber tree). The record is from RNAcentral. Lineage: Eukaryota; Viridiplantae; Streptophyta; Magnoliopsida; Malpighiales; Euphorbiaceae.